This 625-nucleotide ribosomal RNA is filed under the name uncultured bacterium. RNAcentral describes it as "bacterial SSU rRNA". The stretch from base 1 to 522 matches the Rfam family "Bacterial small subunit ribosomal RNA", at positions 338 to 873 of the family's 1533-position model. The record is from RNAcentral.
CCUACGGGAGGCAGCAGUGGGGAAUAUUGCGCAAUGGGCGAAAGCCUGACGCAGCAACGCCGCGUGAGGGAUGACGGCCUUCGGGUUGUAAACCUCUUUCAGCAGGGAAGAAGCGAAAGUGACGGUACCUGCAGAAGAAGCACCGGCUAACUACGUGCCAGCAGCCGCGGUAAUACGUAGGGUGCAAGCGUUGUCCGGAUUUAUUGGGCGUAAAGAGCUCGUAGGCGGUUAGUCACGUCGGAUGUGAAAUCCCGGAGCUUAACUCCGGGCCUGCAUUCGAUACGGGCUGACUCGAGUAUUGUAGGGGAGACUGGAACUCCUGGUGUAGCGGUGAAAUGCGCAGAUAUCAGGAAGAACACCGGUGGCGAAGGCGGGUCUCUGGGCAAUUACUGACGCUGAGGAGCGAAAGCGUGGGGAGCAAACAGGAUUAGAUACCCUGGUAGUCCACGCCGUAAACGGUGGGCGCUAGGUGUGGGGACCCUUCCACGGUCUCCGUGCCGCNGCUACGCAUAGUCGCCCGCCCGUCGGGAGGUACGGCCGCCGACGGACGUAAACCGUAACGAAACGGAAAGUUAAGGUACGGCGUUGAGACGUUGCCGAACGGCGACCGACCGAGGGGAGGAGG